UACGUAGGGUGCGAGCGUUAAUCGGAAUUACUGGGCGUAAAGCGUGCGCAGGCGGUUCGUGAUGUCUGGUGUGAAAGCCCCAGGCUUAACCUGGGAAUUGCAUUGGAAACUAGCGGGCUGGAGUGUGGCAGAGGGGGGUGGAAUUCCACGUGUAGCAGUGAAAUGCGUAGAGAUGUGGAGGAACACCGAUGGCGAAGGCAGCCCCCUGGGCUAACACUGACGCUCAUGCACGAAAGCGUGGGGAGCAAACAGG
RNAcentral lists this ribosomal RNA (253 nucleotides) under uncultured bacterium. Its description in RNAcentral is "partial 16S ribosomal RNA". It matches the Rfam family "Bacterial small subunit ribosomal RNA", at positions 524 to 776 of the family's 1533-position model. The record is from RNAcentral.